This 465-nucleotide ribosomal RNA is filed under the name uncultured bacterium. RNAcentral describes it as "partial 16S ribosomal RNA". It matches the Rfam family "Bacterial small subunit ribosomal RNA", at positions 28 to 507 of the family's 1533-position model. The record is from RNAcentral.
GACGAACGCUGGCGGCGUGCUUAACACAUGCAAGUCGUACGGUAAGGCCCUUUCGGGGGUCCACGAGUGGCGAACGGGUGAGUAACACGUGAGUAACCUGCCCACAACUUUGGGAUAACGCUAGGAAACUGGUGCUAAUACUGGAUAUGUGCUCCUGCUGCAUGGUGGGGGUUGGAAAGCUCCGGCGGUUGUGGAUGGACUCGCGGCCUAUCAGCUUGUUGGUGGGGUAGUGGCCUACCAAGGCGGCGACGGGUAGCCGGCCUGAGAGGGUGACCGGCCACAUUGGGACUGAGAUACGGCCCAGACUCCUACGGGAGGCAGCAGUGGGGAAUAUUGCACAAGGGGCGCAAGCCUGAUGCAGCAACGCCGCGUGCGGGAUGACGGCCUUCGGGUUGUAAACCGCUUUCAGCAGGGACGAAGCUUUUUGUGACGGUACCUGCAGAAGAAGCACCGGCUAACUACGUG